CCUACGGGAGGCAGCAGUGAGGAAUAUUGGUCAAUGGACGAGAGUCUGAACCAGCCAAGUAGCGUGAAGGAUGACUGCCCUAUGGGUUGUAAACUUCUUUUAUAUGGGAAUAAAAUGUUCCACGUGUGGGAUUUUGUAUGUACCAUAUGAAUAAGGAUCGGCUAACUCCGUGCCAGCAGCCGCGGUAAUACGGAGGAUCCGAGCGUUAUCCGGAUUUAUUGGGUUUAAAGGGAGCGUAGGUGGAUUGUUAAGUCAGUUGUGAAAGUUUGCGGCUAAACCGUAAAAUUGCAGUUGAAACUGGCAGUCUUGAGUACAGUAGAGGUUGGCGGAAUUCGUGGUGUAGCGGUGAAAUGCUUAGAUAUCACGAAGAACUCCGAUUGGGAAGGCAGUUCACUGGACUGCAACUGACACUGAGGCUCGAAAGUGUGGGUAUCAAACAGGAUUAGAUACCCGAGUAGUC
RNAcentral lists this ribosomal RNA (460 nucleotides) under uncultured bacterium. Its description in RNAcentral is "partial 16S ribosomal RNA". It matches the Rfam family "Bacterial small subunit ribosomal RNA", at positions 338 to 795 of the family's 1533-position model. The record is from RNAcentral.